Molecule: ribosomal RNA, 3029 nt
Filed under: Salmonella enterica subsp. enterica
Lineage: Bacteria; Pseudomonadati; Pseudomonadota; Gammaproteobacteria; Enterobacterales; Enterobacteriaceae
Also listed under: 1 other name
Description: 23S ribosomal RNA
Rfam family: Bacterial large subunit ribosomal RNA
Source: RNAcentral
GGGUUGUGAGGUUAAGCGACUAAGCGUACACGGUGGAUGCCCUGGCAGUCAGAGGCGAUGAAGGGCGUGCUAAUCUGCGAUAAGCGCCGGUAAGGUGAUAUGAACCGUUAUAACCGGCGAUACCCGAAUGGGGAAACCCAGUGUGACUCGUCACACUAUCAUUAACUGAAUCCAUAGGUUAAUGAGGCGAACCGGGGGAACUGAAACAUCUAAGUACCCCGAGGAAAAGAAAUCAACCGAGAUUCCCCCAGUAGCGGCGAGCGAACGGGGAGGAGCCCAGAGCCUGAAUCAGCAUGUGUGUUAGUGGAAGCGUCUGGAAAGGCGCGCGAUACAGGGUGACAGCCCCGUACACAAAAGCGCAUGUGCUGUGAGCUCGAUGAGUAGGGCGGGACACGUGGUAUCCUGUCUGAAUAUGGGGGGACCAUCCUCCAAGGCUAAAUACUCCUGACUGACCGAUAGUGAACCAGUACCGUGAGGGAAAGGCGAAAAGAACCCCGGCGAGGGGAGUGAAAAAGAACCUGAAACCGUGUACGUACAAGCAGUGGGAGCCCCACCACCAAAGCAUUCUCUGGUGUUGAAGGCCCUGCAAAGCAGCAUCGCGGUGGCGGAGCGUCGUUUGCGACGCCCAACACACAAAACAAGCGGUGAAUGCUUUGGGGUGGGGUGACUGCGUACCUUUUGUAUAAUGGGUCAGCGACUUAUAUUCUGUAGCAAGGUUAACCGAAUAGGGGAGCCGGAGGGAAACCGAGUCUUAAUUGGGCGUUAAGUUGCAGGGUAUAGACCCGAAACCCGGUGAUCUAGCCAUGGGCAGGUUGAAGGUUGGGUAACACUAACUGGAGGACCGAACCGACUAAUGUUGAAAAAUUAGCGGAUGACCUGUGGCUGGGGGUGAAAGGCCAAUCAAACCGGGAGAUAGCUGGUUCUCCCCGAAAGCUAUUUAGGUAGCGCCUCGUGAAUUCAUCUCCGGGGGUAGAGCACUGUUUCGGCUAGGGGGCCAUCCCGGCUUACCAACCCGAUGCAAACUGCGAAUACCGGAGAAUGUUAUCACGGGAGACACACGGCGGGUGCUAACGUCCGUCGUGAAGAGGGAAACAACCCAGACCGCCAGCUAAGGUCCCAAAGUCAUGGUUAAGUGGGAAACGAUGUGGGAAGGCCCAGACAGCCAGGAUGUUGGCUUAGAAGCAGCCAUCAUUUAAAGAAAGCGUAAUAGCUCACUGGUCGAGUCGGCCUGCGCGGAAGAUGUAACGGGGCUAAACCAUGCACCGAAGCUGCGGCAGCGACGCUGAUGCGUUGUUGGGUAGGGGAGCGUUCUGUAAGCCUGUGAAGGUGUGUCGUGAGGCAUGCUGGAGGUAUCAGAAGUGCGAAUGCUGACAUAAGUAACGAUAAAGCGGGUGAAAAGCCCGCUCGCCGGAAGACCAAGGGUUCCUGUCCAACGUUAAUCGGGGCAGGGUGAGUCGACCCCUAAGGCGAGGCCGAAAGGCGUAGUCGAUGGGAAACGGGUUAAUAUUCCCGUACUUGGUGUUACUGCGAAGGGGGGACGGAGAAGGCUAUGUUGGCCGGGCGACGGUUGUCCCGGUUUAAGCGUGUAGGUGUGUGUUCCAGGUAAAUCCGGUUCACUUUAACACUGAGGCGUGACGACGAGGCACUACGGUGCUGAAGCAACAAAUGCCCUGCUUCCAGGAAAAGCCUCUAAGCAUCAGGUAACACGAAAUCGUACCCCAAACCGACACAGGUGGUCAGGUAGAGAAUACCAAGGCGCUUGAGAGAACUCGGGUGAAGGAACUAGGCAAAAUGGUGCCGUAACUUCGGGAGAAGGCACGCUGACACGUAGGUGAAGUGAUUUACUCAUGGAGCUGAAGUCAGUCGAAGAUACCAGCUGGCUGCAACUGUUUAUUAAAAACACAGCACUGUGCAAACACGAAAGUGGACGUAUACGGUGUGACGCCUGCCCGGUGCCGGAAGGUUAAUUGAUGGGGUCAGCGUAAGCGAAGCUCCUGAUCGAAGCCCCGGUAAACGGCGGCCGUAACUAUAACGGUCCUAAGGUAGCGAAAUUCCUUGUCGGGUAAGUUCCGACCUGCACGAAUGGCGUAAUGAUGGCCAGGCUGUCUCCACCCGAGACUCAGUGAAAUUGAACUCGCUGUGAAGAUGCAGUGUACCCGCGGCAAGACGGAAAGACCCCGUGAACCUUUACUAUAGCUUGACACUGAACAUUGAGCCUUGAUGUGUAGGAUAGGUGGGAGGCUUUGAAGUGUGGACGCCAGUCUGCAUGGAGCCGACCUUGAAAUACCACCCUUUAAUGUUUGAUGUUCUAACGUGGACCCGUAAUCCGGGUUGCGGACAGUGUCUGGUGGGUAGUUUGACUGGGGCGGUCUCCUCCUAAAGAGUAACGGAGGAGCACGAAGGUUGGCUAAUCCUGGUCGGACAUCAGGAGGUUAGUGCAAUGGCAUAAGCCAGCUUGACUGCGAGCGUGACGGCGCGAGCAGGUGCGAAAGCAGGUCAUAGUGAUCCGGUGGUUCUGAAUGGAAGGGCCAUCGCUCAACGGAUAAAAGGUACUCCGGGGAUAACAGGCUGAUACCGCCCAAGAGUUCAUAUCGACGGCGGUGUUUGGCACCUCGAUGUCGGCUCAUCACAUCCUGGGGCUGAAGUAGGUCCCAAGGGUAUGGCUGUUCGCCAUUUAAAGUGGUACGCGAGCUGGGUUUAGAACGUCGUGAGACAGUUCGGUCCCUAUCUGCCGUGGGCGCUGGAGAACUGAGGGGGGCUGCUCCUAGUACGAGAGGACCGGAGUGGACGCAUCACUGGUGUUCGGGUUGUCAUGCCAAUGGCACUGCCCGGUAGCUAAAUGCGGAAGAGAUAAGUGCUGAAAGCAUCUAAGCACGAAACUUGCCCCGAGAUGAGUUCUCCCUGAGACUUAGAGUCUCCUGAAGGAACGUUGAAGACGACGACGUUGAUAGGCCGGGUGUGUAAGCGCAGCGAUGCGUUGAGCUAACCGGUACUAAUGAACCGUGAGGCUUAACCUUACAACGCCGAAG